UUCAACUUAAUAAAUUUUCAUAAAAAAAGAGGCGUCCCCUCACAACUCAGUUGACAAACACACACACAUACACACAGAGAUGCCAACAUGGCUAAGUGUUUAAACAGCGCCGUAGAAAGCAGUCGAGACGCCUGCAAGGGCUGCCUCAUUACGGAAGCCAGCGUUGGCGAACGACGAAGGAAAUACUGAAAGGGAGACAGCGAGGAAGACGCAGGACAAUGAGGACGCCGGUGAAAAUGGCGACGACAGGAAGUGAAGUUGUCGAAACUGCGUUCCCCUGCCUCUGCCCGUUUGCCUUCUGUCCGCAUAGAACUUUUUAUGUAGCACAGCUAAAAGCGUGUGCGAUUGUCUCUGCUAGUGUGCGAGUGUGUGAGUGUGUGUGUGUGUGUGUGUGUGUGAGUGUGUAAGUACGCAGCAGGCUGGGCUAGAGCAAGGCUCGCAGCAGAGCUACAAUUUAAGACAGAGCUAAAUGAAAGUGCGGCCUGCAGCUGUAGCUGAAAAGGAGAAGACAAAACUGAAUCUGGAAAUGGCUAUGGGUGUGGCAACGGCCUGGUUAGUGGGUCGGGGCGUGGUUCUGAGGCAGCUGCCGAAUGUAGACUAAAUCAAGUUAGCACACUGAAUGGCCAAUGAGCAAUGAAAACGUUGCCAUGGCUAUGCACUUUCAGAAGCCAUUUUUUUGCGUCUGUGUGCGUGUGUCUGCCUGUGUGAGUGAGUGUGAGUGCGCAUUUCACAUCUCUUUCUCUGCCAAUUCACCAACAUUUUUAUAUCAUCAAUUUGGGCUAGUGCCAAACUUUGCCAACUACUCUCGUGUUAUGUGGAAAAUAAGGAAAAAGGCAAAGCAUUGCACACCCUCGCCCACACAAACGCGCAUAACCACACACACACUCACACGCACACACAAGUUUGUGGCCAGUUGCCAGGAUGGGAUUUUGUUGGUGCAUUUGAAUGUUUUGCAUGGGACUUUCGUAUAAUAUGAAUGCACUUAAAUUAAAUUCCAUAUUUUUAUGUAGUUUUAAAAUUUCAACCGAAAUAAAAUGUUCUCUACGAAAUGUA
Molecule: non-coding RNA, 1053 nt
Organism: Drosophila virilis
Lineage: Eukaryota; Metazoa; Arthropoda; Insecta; Diptera; Drosophilidae
Source: RefSeq, a predicted model, not a curated record